AGACUUAGGAGAGGGCUGUGGCUAAAAC
This 28-nucleotide non-coding RNA is filed under the name Cricetulus griseus (Chinese hamster). The record is from RNAcentral. Lineage: Eukaryota; Metazoa; Chordata; Mammalia; Rodentia; Cricetidae.